UCCUACGGGGGGCAGCAGUGAGGAAUAUUGGUCAAUGGGCGGAAGCCUGAACCAGCCAAGUCGCGUGAGGGAUUAAGGCCCUGCGGGUCGUAAACCUCUUUUGCCGGGGAGCAGAGGUCCGGACGUGUCCGGGCCGGGAGAGUACCCGGAGAAAAAGCAUCGGCUAACUCCGUGCCAGCAGCCGCGGUAAUACGGAGGAUGCGAGCGUUAUCCGGAUUUAUUGGGUUUAAAGGGUGCGUAGGCGGGCAUUUAAGCCGGCGGUCAAAUGUCGGGGCUCAACCCCGGCCUGCCGUCGGAACUGGGUG
RNAcentral lists this ribosomal RNA (305 nucleotides) under uncultured bacterium. RNAcentral's name for it is "bacterial SSU rRNA". It matches the Rfam family "Bacterial small subunit ribosomal RNA", at positions 337 to 639 of the family's 1533-position model. The record is from RNAcentral.